AUGGCAUCUCGCAAAAGAUCAAUGGCAUGAGGUAGGGCUGGCAGUAUAAACUGAAAGCAUUCCUGUGACCCUUUCUUGCUACCUGGCAGAUUAAUUAUGAGAGUUUUCCCUCUGAUUCCACAUACAGGUCUAGAGAGCAUGCCCAGAGGAGUUACAUUAAGUGAUCCCAUCAGCAUUGCCAGGGCCAUCCCCGGUGCUUCUCGCUCUAUUACUUCUUUAGUGGCCUCUGGGGUGACAUCUCGUGGUGCAAACCCUGUUCCUCCAGUUGUUAAAAUCAAAUUAAGUUCCUUUUCAUCACACCAAUCUAUCAGCGUCUCCUUGAUUUCUUCUAUUUCAUCUGGCACUAUCUUGUAUGCAGAUAUAGUCCCACCCAACAAAGAAGGGUCCUGGACCAGAUCUUUAAGGUUUAUCCCACUACGAUCCUCGGCAAGGUUCCUGAAGCAACUGUCACUCACUGUGAGCACCCCGACGCGGAUCUGGUGAUCGUGGUUCGUUAGAAUCAUCCCCUCCG
Molecule: long non-coding RNA, 511 nt
Filed under: Gallus gallus (chicken)
Lineage: Eukaryota; Metazoa; Chordata; Aves; Galliformes; Phasianidae
Source: RNAcentral